This 213-nucleotide long non-coding RNA is filed under the name Elaeis guineensis (African oil palm). RNAcentral describes it as "long non-coding RNA (EGUI_LNC029430)". Lineage: Eukaryota; Viridiplantae; Streptophyta; Magnoliopsida; Arecales; Arecaceae. The record is from RNAcentral.
GCCCCCUCUUCUCUACUAGUUGGGAGAUUGAAUAAGGAUGCUUUCAGAUCUGGAAUGGGUAAUUUUAGAUAUGGUAUCGAUAGGAUUCAAGGAGAGGAAGAACAAGGUGAAGACGGGCAAAGGCUGCAGUUUUGUAAAAGCCUGAGGGUCUCUUUCUCUUGUGCGGUAUAGCUCCAGUUGUUGGAUGCUCUAAUUAUUUAAUUUUUAGGAGGA